GAGUUUGAUCCUGGCUCAGGAUGAACGCUGGCGGCGUGCUUAACACAUGCAAGUCGAACGAAGCGCCUUAUUUGAUUUUCUUCGGAACUGAAGAUUUGGUGACUGAGUGGCGGACGGGUGAGUAACGCGUGGGUAACCUGCCCUGUACAGGGGGAUAACAAUCAGAAAUGACUGCUAAUACCGCAUAAGACCACAGCACCGCAUGGUGCAGGGGUAAAAACUCCGGUGGUACAGGAUGGACCCGCGUCUGAUUAGCUGGUUGGUGAGGUAACGGCUCACCAAGGCGACGAUCAGUAGCCGGCUUGAGAGAGUGAACGGCCACAUUGGGACUGAGACACGGCCCAAACUCCUACGGGAGGCAGCAGUGGGGAAUAUUGCACAAUGGGGGAAACCCUGAUGCAGCAACGCCGCGUGAGUGAAGAAGUAUUUCGGUAUGUAAAGCUCUAUCAGCAGGGAAGAAAGUGACGGUACCUGACUAAGAAGCCCCGGCUAACUACGUGCCAGCAGCCGCGGUAAC
RNAcentral lists this ribosomal RNA (517 nucleotides) under uncultured microorganism. RNAcentral describes it as "bacterial SSU rRNA". It matches the Rfam family "Bacterial small subunit ribosomal RNA", at positions 9 to 524 of the family's 1533-position model. The record is from RNAcentral.